Molecule: ribosomal RNA, 461 nt
Filed under: uncultured bacterium
Lineage: Bacteria
Description: bacterial SSU rRNA
Rfam family: Bacterial small subunit ribosomal RNA
Source: RNAcentral
AUUGAACGCUGGCGGCAGGCCUAACACAUGCAAGUCGAACGGUAACAGGAAGCAGCUUGCUGCUUCGCUGACGAGUGGCGGACGGGUGAGUAAUGUCUGGGAAACUGCCUGAUGGAGGGGGAUAACUACUGGAAACGGUAGCUAAUACCGCAUAACGUCGCAAGACCAAAGAGGGGGACCUUCGGGCCUCUUACCAUCGGAUGUGCCCAGAUGGGAUUAGCUAGUAGGUGGGGUAACGGCUCACCUAGGCGACGAUCCCUAGCUGGUCUGAGAGGAUGACCAGCCACACUGGAACUGAGACACGGUCCAGACUCCUACGGGAGGCAGCAGUGGGGAAUAUUGCACAAUGGGCGCAAGCCUGAUGCAGCCAUGCCGCGUGUAUGAAGAAGGCCUUCGGGUUGUAAAGUACUUUCAGCGGGGAGGAAGGCGAUAAGGUUAAUAACCUUGUCGAUUGACGUACC